GUUCAAUCCACAACUCGAGCAGAUCCGGGUCAUUGUGAGCUCUCCUCCCACCCGCAAAUCGCCUCCUUCUUUCAGUCUCUUCUCCGGCGUAGAUCAACCACCAGACGAACUCCGGCCAGUGACUCGUUCUCCUUUUCGGCAACUCGAGCAACGCCCAACAACUCGCCAGGGAAGCGUUUCACGUUUGUUUCAGGAGCGUUUUUCCUCUUCCGGCGAGGUUCGGGUUCUCGAUAACUUUGGUGUUACUCUCAAAUAUCCCUCCUGUUUCUGCUGAAGAUGGCUACUGCAUCAGUUGCUUUCAAAUCUAGGGAGGAUCAUCGCAAACAACUAGAAUUAGAGGAAGCACGCAAGGCAGGGCUUGCGCCAGCUGAGGUUGAUGAAGAUGGGAAAGA
RNAcentral lists this unclassified non-coding RNA (392 nucleotides) under Hevea brasiliensis (rubber tree). Lineage: Eukaryota; Viridiplantae; Streptophyta; Magnoliopsida; Malpighiales; Euphorbiaceae. The record is from RNAcentral.